GUGACACACAACUGCAGGGCUGCACGAUAUGACCUAAAAUCAAAAUCUUGAUUAAUUGCCCAUUUUUCCUCGAUAAUGAUAAAUGAACGAUAUUUUUUUUUGUGUUUUUGUUUUUGUCCUC
Molecule: long non-coding RNA, 121 nt
Organism: Etheostoma spectabile (orangethroat darter)
Lineage: Eukaryota; Metazoa; Chordata; Actinopteri; Perciformes; Percidae
Exons: 3
Source: RefSeq, a predicted model, not a curated record